UUUAUGAUGAUAAUUCUAUAGAAGAUUUUGAUUUCAUAUCAAAUGUUUUUGUAUCCUCUAAGAAGUUCUGAAUAUUUAU
RNAcentral lists this small nucleolar RNA (79 nucleotides) under Plasmodium gallinaceum. Its description in RNAcentral is "small nucleolar RNA snoR01". It matches the Rfam family "small nucleolar RNA snoR01". Lineage: Eukaryota; Apicomplexa; Aconoidasida; Haemosporida; Plasmodiidae. The record is from RNAcentral.